GCCUGCCCUGUGCACAGGUUGAGGACACUCCUGUGGCUGGAAAAAGCUGGAUCUGAAGGUUGUAGAAACUUGCAGAAGGAAGCCAUCAAAGUGACUUGGAAAGGCUACUUGGAUGGAAGGCUACUUGAUAACAGGCUACUGGAUGGCCAGCUCUGCACUUGGGUCAGUCUUGCUAAAAGAAAGGUCUGGAAGAAAGCGCACGAGACAUUUAACAGUGUUUUUGUGUGAACAAGAGAUGGCUAGG
Long non-coding RNA from Pongo pygmaeus (Bornean orangutan), 244 nucleotides. RefSeq lists it as uncharacterized. NCBI's taxonomy places the organism in Eukaryota, Metazoa, Chordata, Mammalia, Primates, Hominidae. The record is from RefSeq and is a predicted model, not a curated record. The transcript has 3 exons.